RNAcentral lists this ribosomal RNA (207 nucleotides) under uncultured bacterium. Its description in RNAcentral is "partial 16S ribosomal RNA". It matches the Rfam family "Bacterial small subunit ribosomal RNA", at positions 568 to 774 of the family's 1533-position model. The record is from RNAcentral.
AGCGCAGGCGGUCUUUUAAGUCUAAUGUGAAAGCCUUCGGCUCAACCGAAGAAGUGCAUUGGAAACUGGGAGACUUGAGUGCAGAAGAGGACAGUGGAACUCCAUGUGUAGCGGUGAAAUGCGUAGAUAUAUGGAAGAACACCAGUGGCGAAGGCGGCUGUCUGGUCUGCAACUGACGCUGAGGCUCGAAAGCAUAGGUAGCGAACA